GGGGACCAUCUCCCAAGGCUAAAUACUCCCUAGUGACCGAUAGUGAACCAGUACCGUGAGGGAAAGGUGAAAAGCACCCCGGAAGGGGAGUGAAAGAGAUCCUGAAACCGUGUGCCUACAAGUAGUCAGAGCCCGUUAACGGGUGAUGGCGUGCCUUUUGUAGAAUGAACCGGCGAGUUACGAUCCCGUGCAAGGUUAAGCAGAAGAUGCGGAGCCGCAGCGAAAGCGAGUCUGAAUAGGGCGCAUGAGUACGUGGUCGUAGACCCGAAACCAGGUGAUCUACCCAUGUCCAGGGUGAAGUUCAGGUAACACUGAAUGGAGGCCCGAACCCACGCACGUUGAAAAGUGCGGGGAUGAGGUGUGGGUAGGGGUGAAAUGCCAAUCGAACCUGGAGAUAGCUGGUUCUCUCCGAAAUAGCUUUAGGGCUAGCCUCAAGGUAAGAGUCUUGGAGGUAGAGCACUGAUUGGACUAGGGGCCCCUACCGGGUUACCGAAUUCAGUCAAACUCCGAAUGCCAAUGACUUAUCCUUGGGAGUCAGACUGCGAGUGAUAAGAUCCGUAGUCGAAAGGGAAACAGCCCAGACCGCCAGCUAAGGUCCCAAAGUAUACGUUAAGUGGAAAAGGAUGUGGAGUUGCUUAGACAACCAGGAUGUUGGCUUAGAAGCAGCCACCAUUUAAAGAGUGCGUAAUAGCUCACUGGUCGAGUGACUCUGCGCCGAAAAUGUACCGGGGCUAAACGUAUCACCGAAGCUGCGGACUGUUCUUCGAACAGUGGUAGGAGAGCGUUCUAAGGGCUGUGAAGCCAGACCGGAAGGACUGGUGGAGCGCUUAGAAGUGAGAAUGCCGGUAUGAGUAGCGAAAGAGGGGUGAGAAUCCCCUCCACCGAAUGCCUAAGGUUUCCUGAGGAAGGCUCGUCCGCUCAGGGUUAGUCGGGACCUAAGCCGAGGCCGAAAGGCGUAGGCGAUGGACAACAGGUUGAUAUUCCUGUACCACCUCCUCACCAUUUGAGCAAUGGGGGGACGCAGGAGGAUAGGGUAAGCGCGGUAUUGGAUAUCCGCGUCCAAGCAGUUAGGCUG
RNAcentral lists this ribosomal RNA (1075 nucleotides) under Enterococcus faecalis. Its description in RNAcentral is "partial 23S ribosomal RNA". It matches the Rfam family "Bacterial large subunit ribosomal RNA", at positions 448 to 1527 of the family's 2925-position model. The record is from RNAcentral. Lineage: Bacteria; Bacillati; Bacillota; Bacilli; Lactobacillales; Enterococcaceae.